Molecule: long non-coding RNA, 1017 nt
Filed under: Gossypium barbadense (sea-island cotton)
Lineage: Eukaryota; Viridiplantae; Streptophyta; Magnoliopsida; Malvales; Malvaceae
Description: long non-coding RNA (GBAR_LNC004128)
Source: RNAcentral
GAUGAAAGAAAAAAGAGAAUUCCAUUGUAAAGCCGUAUGCAAUGCACAAAAAAUGCCUGUACGGUUGUUCAAUUCUAUCUUUUUUUCUUAUUAUUCUUUAGCUAUUUUUAGCUAUUCUUCUCGCCUCAUUAUGUGAGUUAGAAGAACCUUUUAUUAUGUUAUAUCAUCAGGGUAAUGAUCCAUCAACCUACUAGUUCUUUUUAUGAGGCACAAACAGGAGAAUUUAUCCUAGAAGCGGAAGAACUACUGAAACUUCGCGAAAGCCUCACAAGGGUUUAUGUACAAAGAACGGGCAAGCCCCUAUGGGUCGUAUCCGAAGACAUGGAAAGAGAUGUUUUUAUGUCAGCAACAGAAGCCCAAGCUCAUGGAAUUGUGGAUCUUGUAGCGGUUAAAUAAGUUAAAUAACAAAUAGCAAUAGCAACGAUUUAACACCAAUCCACAAUUUAAUUAAGAUUGAUUUAAUCCCUCUUCUUCCUUUCCUUCUUAACUUAAGCCUAAAGCCUAAGGGGUUAAUAUUUUAUUAAUCUAUUAAAUAGAAAAAGAACUAAUUCAGAAAUAUCUGGUUAGGAUCGAUCUAAACCAGUCUAUUAUGUAUAUAAUUCAGUAUGCCAACUAUUAAACAACUUAAGCCAUUGCUGAAUCACAGACGAAAUAAAUAUAUAAAGCAACGGAGCCAUCAUAGUAUUUUUGAACUUUUCCGAAAAAAAAAGAAGGGUGGUAAUUGGAUUAUUUAGUGAUCUGGGUCUAAUAGACGCUCUCUAUAUUUUCUCUUUUUCUUUUUUCGAUGAAAGAAAAAAGAGAAUUCCAUUGUAAAGCCGUAUGUAAUGCACAAAAAAUGCCUGUACGGUUGUUCAAUUCUAUCUUUUUUUCUUAUUAUUCUUUAGCUAUUUUUAGCUAUUCUUCUCGCCUCAUUAUGUGAGUUAGAAGAACCUUUUAUUAUGUUAUAUCAUCAGGGUAAUGAUCCAUCAACCUGCUAGUUCUUUUUAUGAGGCACAAACAGGAGAAUUUAUCCUGGAA